AAACUUUCAACAACGGAUCUCUUGGUUCUGGCAUCGAUGAAGAACGCAGCGAAAUGCGAUAAGUAAUGUGAAUUGCAGAAUUCAGUGAAUCAUCGAAUCUUUGAACGCACAUUGCGCCCGCCAGCACUCUGGCGGGCAUGCCUGUUCGAGCGUCAUU
RNAcentral lists this ribosomal RNA (157 nucleotides) under Hypomyces chrysospermus. RNAcentral's name for it is "5.8S ribosomal RNA". It matches the Rfam family "5.8S ribosomal RNA". From Rfam's summary of the family: 5.8S ribosomal RNA (5.8S rRNA) is a component of the large subunit of the eukaryotic ribosome. It is transcribed by RNA polymerase I as part of the 45S precursor that also contains 18S and 28S rRNA. RNAcentral also lists the same sequence under 5 other names. The record is from RNAcentral. Lineage: Eukaryota; Fungi; Ascomycota; Sordariomycetes; Hypocreales; Hypocreaceae.